AAGCCAUCGACGGCGGAGUUCAGGUGCGAAGUCAGGGACACAAAGUCCGUGGUGCAUUUCUGGAUUCGACACUGGGCCGGCUGCUGGCAGUCACCUAGGAGAAAGAAGGAUUUUGAGAAAGAUCCCUUUGCUCUAAGGCCAAGUCAAAGAUGGAAACUUUGUUUUGAUUUUGAAAAUUGCGCAUCAGCUGGGAAAACAAGGAGUAGAAGAUGACAAGCUCAUAAGGCACUUCCCCAGCCAUUCCUAAGUUUCCAAAACCAAAAAGGGAAAAUGUAGUCAAGACUGGCUAUCUGACUUAACACAAGUAAAAGAGAAGAUUAAAAUAUUUUACUAUUUUGGAGCUGUGAAUUUACAGCUAUUACUUAAAGGCACUAAAUAAAAAUCACAGAUACAUCUUUAUGCGUGUGGCCUCUUUUUUGUUUUCUCAUUCCAAAGUUGACAAAAGCAGCUCUAGUAUUUAUAGAAUUCCUCUCUACAAAGUAGAUCAAAUCAUCUUUCAACUAUUUUUACUCAAAAAGGCAAAAGUGGAAACAAAAAAUAAGACCAGCCAACAACCCCCAAAGUGGCAUUAAAGCCAUUUUACAGAUGGGAAAAUCAAGACAAAGGGACACCAAAGGCCUUGUCCUGGCUGGACUGUAAACUGCCAGCAUGAAGCCCAGAACAUGGUGCCUUUCCUCAAAUCUCGUUUUCAUUCCCCCAACAAAAUUUCUGAUUCUCAAGACAGUACUUUAUAGCUUUAGGAAAAAAAAAAAAAGACGUCAGGAACAGCAACAUCUUUUCUCUUUUUCUUUUAAAAUCAGAUUCACAGCAAGCAGUAAGCAAGACAAUAAAUAUAUGAGCCAAGGCUCAUUCAGUAACAAAGAGCUUUUGCACAAUGUAUAAAUGACAGCACAAGAACUUUCCGCUAAACUUGCAGUGCCUAUUCUGUUCUUUUUAUGGUCUAUAAAAUCUAGCCGAGCGUACACUUACUUAUAAUUAUUUCAAAUAGUCAUAAAAAUAUCAAAAGUAAGACCAGCAGAUGCAACUGUUUAGAAAGGAAAAGCAGAAUCUAGACUCCCAGAUCCUUUUUUGUUCCCUUCCUCCCUUCCCCAUGCCCUUUUUCAUAGCAGGUAGGGGCUGAUUCCUUUGAGAAAUCUCAGACAAAACACAGUUCCUUGGAUUCCUAUGUUUUGGAUGAGGUUUCUAACAGACUUUUUAAAUAGAGAUGGUGGGAUGGAGGAGGGCUAACCAGAGAGAAAGUGCAUGUGGGUCAGCAGUUUCAGCCCCAUCACAGGCUCCUGUAUAUAAUGACUAAUUUGCAGCAUACACCCAGAAAUACCCAGGCUUCAUGAAUUUAUAAUGACAAUGCACACUUUGCCUGUAAGAGGCGGUAAAGUAAGCCUCCUGUCAAAAUGCCAAGACAAUGCAGAGCAGAAACAAUUUCAAGGAUGCAGCCAAGAAAACCAUGAAGUGUAUGAGUAAGCAAGGAACUCCCAUACUGGAUCUCCAUUCAGGAAGUGCAGAGGUUUGCUUCAGGAAAAAAAAAAAAAAGAAAGACUAAAAGUAUUCUUUUCAUUUCCCAAGGGCAGAAUUCAAAAUCUGCAGCUACAGAUCUAUUUUUUUCAAAUCAUACCAUCUAUGAUGUGAUCGUAUUUUCAUCCCAGUAAAUGAAGUUUACUAAAGGAUUUGUUAGUCUAGAGCUCUCAUGAAUGAUCCAGACACGAAGACCUCACCAUUCAAGGUGGUUUCUGCAAUGUCAGGCCUGCAUGGGUGAAUCUGCAGCCCAAUCAUCAGAUUAUAAUAAAAGAAAU
This is a long non-coding RNA of Dama dama (fallow deer), 1790 nucleotides long. RefSeq lists it as uncharacterized. The transcript is spliced from 3 exons. NCBI's taxonomy places the organism in Eukaryota, Metazoa, Chordata, Mammalia, Artiodactyla, Cervidae. The record is from RefSeq and is a predicted model, not a curated record.